Molecule: long non-coding RNA, 808 nt
Filed under: Setaria italica (foxtail millet)
Lineage: Eukaryota; Viridiplantae; Streptophyta; Magnoliopsida; Poales; Poaceae
Description: long non-coding RNA (SITA_LNC001816)
Source: RNAcentral
CCGAACCAGGAAGCACCAAGCAAGCAAUCAAGCGCUGGGGUCGUUGAUCCUCCCUUACCUCUGACCGAGAACGCUCGCCAAGAACGCGUCUUGUUGUGAUAACUACUUCAGUAUGUGCUCCGGACCUCGCAAGCCGUCGACCCCGCCGCUGCCGGCGGCGACGGCCAAGGAAUCGGCGGUGAUGGCGGCGCUGCUCCUGGAGCUGGCGGCGGCGGACGACCUCGUGGCGUUCAGGCGCGCCGUGGAGGACGACAAAGUCUCGGCCUUGGACGCCUCGUGCCAGUGGUACGGGCCAUCCGCCGCGUCGGGUGCCCGGCUGCGCCUCGAGGUGCGCACGCCGGCCAUGGUCGCCGCGCUCUACGGGAGCACGGGGGUGCUUGCGUACGUGCUGUCCGCCGCGCCGGCGGAGGCGGCGCGCGCGUCGCCCACGGACGGCGCCACGCCGCUCCACCUCGCCGCGGCGGGCGGCGCCGCGGGCGCCGUCGCGGCCGCGCACCUCCUCCUCGCCGCGGGCGCGUCCGCGGACGCGCUCGCUUUCUCGGGCCUCCGCGCCGGGGACCUCCUCCCGCGCGCAAACGCCGCUGCCGAGAGGGACAGGGCGCUCCGCGUGCUCCUCAAGUCCCCCGCGGCGUCGCCGUCGUCUUCCCCCAAGAAGUCCGCCUCGCCUCCCCUCGCCCCGGAGCCGAGGAAGGAGUACCCGCCCGACCUCACGCUCCCGGACCUCAAGACCGGCCUCUUCAGCACCGACGAGUUCCGCAUGUACAGCUUCAAGGUGAAGCCCUGCUCCCGCGCCUACUCCCACGACUGG